This 497-nucleotide ribosomal RNA is filed under the name uncultured bacterium. RNAcentral describes it as "partial 16S ribosomal RNA". It matches the Rfam family "Bacterial small subunit ribosomal RNA", at positions 28 to 507 of the family's 1533-position model. The record is from RNAcentral.
GAUGAACGCUGGCGGCGUGCCUAAUACAUGCAAGUCGAGCGAACAGACGAGGAGCUUGCUCCUCUGACGUUAGCGGCGGACGGGUGAGUAACACGUGGAUAACCUACCUAUAAGACUGGGAUAACUUCGGGAAACCGGAGCUAAUACCGGAUAAUAUAUUGAACCGCAUGGUUCAAUAGUGAAAGACGGUUUUGCUGUCACUUAUAGAUGGAUCCGCGCCGCAUUAGCUAGUUGGUAAGGUAACGGCUUACCAAGGCAACGAUGCGUAGCCGACCUGAGAGGGUGAUGGGCCACACUGGAACUGAGACACGGUCCAGACUCCUACGGGAGGCAGCAGUAGGGAAUCUUCCGCAAUGGGCGAAAGCCUGACGGAGCAACGCCGCGUGAGUGAUGAAGGUCUUCGGAUCGUAAAACUCUGUUAUUAGGGAAGAACAAAUGUGUAAGUAACUAUGCACGUCUUGACGGUACCUAAUCAGGAAGCCACGGCUAACUACGUG